This 1362-nucleotide ribosomal RNA is filed under the name uncultured bacterium. Its description in RNAcentral is "16S ribosomal RNA". It matches the Rfam family "Bacterial small subunit ribosomal RNA", at positions 124 to 1501 of the family's 1533-position model. The record is from RNAcentral.
AUCUACCUUGUACGGGGGAAUAGCCCAGAGAAAUUUGGAUUAAUGCCCCAUAGUAUAGUUGAAUGGCAUCAUUUGAUUAUUAAAGUUCAGGCGGUACAAGAUGAGCAUGCGUCCCAUUAGCUAGUUGGUAUGGUAACGGCAUACCAAGGCAAUGAUGGGUAGGGGUCCUGAGAGGGAGAUCCCCCACACUGGUACUGAGACACGGACCAGACUCCUACGGGAGGCAGCAGUGAGGAAUAUUGGGCAAUGGACGCUAGUCUGACCCAGCCAUGCCGCGUGCAGGAAGACGGUCCUAUGGAUUGUAAACUGCUUUUGUACGGGAAGAAACCCUACUACGCGUAGUAGAUUGACGGUACCGUACGAAUAAGGAUCGGCUAACUCCGUGCCAGCAGCCGCGGUAAUACGGAGGAUCCAAGCGUUAUCCGGAAUCAUUGGGUUUAAAGGGUCCGUAGGCGGUUUUAUAAGUCAGUGGUGAAAUCUGGUCGCUCAACGAUCAAACGGCCAUUGAUACUGUAGAACUUGAAUGAUUAGGAAGUAACUAGAAUAUGUAGUGUAGCGGUGAAAUGCUUAGAUAUUACAUGGAAUACCAAUUGCGAAGGCAGGUUACUACUAAUUGAUUGACGCUGAUGGACGAAAGCGUGGGUAGCGAACAGGAUUAGAUACCCUGGUAGUCCACGCCGUAAACGAUGGAUACUAGCUGUUGGGAGCAAUUUCAGUGGCUAAGCGAAAGUGAUAAGUAUCCCACCUGGGGAGUACGAACGCAAGUUUGAAACUCAAAGGAAUUGACGGGGGCCCGCACAAGCGGUGGAGCAUGUGGUUUAAUUCGAUGAUACGCGAGGAACCUUACCAAGGCUUAAAUGUAUUUUGACCGGUUUGGAAACAGACCUUUCGCAAGACAAAUUACAAGGUGCUGCAUGGUUGUCGUCAGCUCGUGCCGUGAGGUGUCAGGUUAAGUCCUUUAACGAGCGCAACCCCUGUUGUUAGUUGCCAGCGAGUAAGGUCGGGAACUCUAGCAAGACUGCCAGUGCAAACUGUGAGGAAGGUGGGGAUGACGUCAAAUCAUCACGGCCCUUACGCCUUGGGCUACACACGUGCUACAAUGGUAAGUACAGAGAGCAGCCACAACGCAAGUUGGAGCGAAUCUAUAAAGCUUAUCUCAGUUCGGAUCGGAGCCUGCAACUCGACUCCGUGAAGCUGGAAUCGCUAGUAAUCGGAUAUCAGCCAUGAUCCGGUGAAUACGUUCCCGGGCCUUGUACACACCGCCCGUCAAGCCAUGGAAGCUGGGGGUACCUGAAGUCGGUGACCGCAAGGAGCUGCCUAGGGUAAAACUGGUAACUGGGGCUAAGUCGUAACAAGGUAACC